Molecule: RNA transcript, 7389 nt
Organism: Manis javanica (Malayan pangolin)
Lineage: Eukaryota; Metazoa; Chordata; Mammalia; Pholidota; Manidae
Gene: SMARCA1
Gene name: SNF2 related chromatin remodeling ATPase 1
Source: RefSeq, a predicted model, not a curated record
AAGUGGGGCAGGGUUGAGGGUUAUUUAAAGAAGGGGGGGGCGAGCGAAGGGGCUGAAAGCGGAGUGAUUCCCCACCCUUGUUCCAUCUAGCUCUUUCCAGCGAAGCCACUGCCGCCGCCCAGGAGCCCUCGUCCCCUUACUCGUCCCCCUCCUCGUUCCCGCCCCAACGCCAUGGAGCCGGACACCGCUGCAGUGGCAGCCACCGUGGCAGCCGCUGAUGCGACCUCCACAAUCGUGGUCCUAGAGGACGAGCAGCCAGGCCCGUCCACUUCUAAGGGGGAGGGAGCGGCCGGCGCCGCCACCGAAGACACCGUGGCCACGGAGAAGGGCGAGAAGAAGGAGAAAAACGUUACUCCAUUUCAACUCAAACUUGCUGCUAAAGCUUCUAAAUCUGAAAAGGAAAUGGACCCAGAAUAUGAAGAGAAAAUGAAAGCAGACCGAGCAAAAAGAUUUGAAUUUUUACUGAAGCAGACAGAGCUUUUUGCACAUUUCAUUCAACCUUCAGCGCAGAAAUCUCCAGCAUCUCCUCUGAACAUGAAAUUGAGACGUCCUCGGAUAAAGAAAGGUGACAAGCAGAGCCUAAUUUCUGCUGGAGACUACCGCCACAGGCGCACAGAGCAAGAAGAAGAUGAAGAACUACUGUCAGAGAGUCGAAAAACAUCCAAUGUAUGUGUUAGAUUUGAGGUGUCACCUUCGUAUGUGAAAGGAGGAUCCCUGAGAGAUUAUCAGAUUCGAGGACUGAACUGGUUGAUCUCUUUGUAUGAAAAUGGAGUCAAUGGUAUUUUGGCUGAUGAAAUGGGUCUUGGUAAGACUUUACAAACAAUUGCUUUGCUUGGUUACCUGAAACAUUACCGAAACAUUCCUGGACCUCACAUGGUGUUAGUUCCAAAGUCAACUUUAUACAACUGGAUGAAUGAAUUUAAACGAUGGGUCCCCUCUCUCCGUGUUAUUUGUUUCGUUGGAGACAAGGAUGCAAGAGCUCUUUUUAUUCGUGAUGAAAUGAUGCCAGGAGAAUGGGAUGUUUGUGUUACUUCUUACGAGAUGGUAAUUAAAGAAAAAUCUGUAUUCAAAAAGUUUCAUUGGAGAUACCUAGUCAUUGAUGAAGCUCACAGAAUAAAGAAUGAAAAAUCCAAGCUUUCAGAGAUUGUCCGUGAGUUCAAGUCAACUAACCGUUUGCUCCUAACUGGAACACCUUUGCAGAAUAACUUGCAUGAACUAUGGGCAUUACUCAACUUCUUACUGCCUGAUGUCUUUAAUUCCGCAGAUGACUUUGAUUCUUGGUUUGACACUAAAAAUUGUCUUGGUGAUCAAAAACUUGUGGAAAGACUGCACGCAGUUUUAAAGCCGUUUUUGUUACGUCGUAUAAAAACUGAUGUAGAGAAGAGCCUGCCUCCUAAGAAGGAAAUAAAGAUAUAUUUGGGACUGAGUAAAAUGCAGCGAGAAUGGUAUACAAAAAUCCUGAUGAAAGAUAUUGAUGUGUUAAACUCUGCCGGCAAGAUGGACAAGAUGCGACUCUUAAAUAUUCUUAUGCAGCUUCGAAAGUGUUGUAAUCAUCCUUACCUUUUUGAUGGUGCUGAACCUGGUCCACCUUAUACCACUGAUGAGCACAUUGUCAGCAAUAGUGGUAAAAUGGUAGUUCUUGAUAAACUCUUGGCCAAACUUAAAGAACAGGGUUCAAGGGUUCUCAUUUUUAGCCAGAUGACUCGCUUGCUGGACAUUCUGGAGGACUAUUGUAUGUGGCGUGGUUAUGAGUAUUGUCGACUGGAUGGACAAACCCCACAUGAAGAAAGAGAGGAUAAAUUCCUAGAAGUGGAAUUACUGGGUCAAAGGGAAGCAAUAGAGGACUUUAAUGUUCCCAAUAGUAGCAAAUUCAUCUUUAUGUUGAGUACCAGGGCUGGAGGUCUCGGAAUUAACUUGGCAAGUGCUGAUGUGGUUAUACUAUAUGAUUCAGACUGGAAUCCACAGGUUGAUCUACAAGCUAUGGAUCGAGCACAUCGUAUUGGUCAGAAGAAGCCAGUACAUGUGUUCCGUCUCAUCACUGACAACACUGUUGAAGAAAGGAUUGUAGAAAGAGCUGAGAUAAAACUGAGACUCGACUCAAUUGUUAUACAACAAGGAAGACUCAUUGAUCAACAGUCCAACAAGCUGGCAAAAGAGGAAAUGUUGCAAAUGAUACGGCAUGGAGCUACCCAUGUUUUUGCUUCUAAAGAAAGCGAGCUGACAGAUGAAGAUAUUACUAGCCUUCUGGAGAGAGGGGAAAAGAAGACUGCAGAGAUGAAUGAACGCUUGCAGAAAAUGGGAGAGUCUUCCCUGAGGAAUUUUCGAAUGGACACUGAACAAAGUUUGUACAAGUUUGAAGGAGAAGAUUAUAGAGAAAAACAGAAGCUUGGGAUGGUGGAGUGGAUUGAACCCCCUAAACGAGAACGCAAAGCAAACUAUGCAGUAGAUGCCUACUUUAGAGAGGCUUUACGUGUCAGUGAGCCUAAGGUUCCAAAGGCUCCACGACCUCCAAAACAGCCAAAUGUUCAGGAUUUUCAGUUUUUCCCACCACGUUUAUUUGAGCUCCUGGAAAAGGAAAUUCUUUAUUAUAGGAAGACGAUAGGCUAUAAGGUCCCAAGGAAUCCUGAUACUCCAAAUCCAGCUGUGGCUCAAAGAGAGGAGCAAAAAAAGAUUGAUGGAGCUGAACCUCUUACAUCAGAAGAGACUGAAGAAAAGGAAAAACUUCUCACACAAGGAUUCACAAACUGGACUAAACGAGAUUUUAACCAGUUUAUUAAAGCUAAUGAGAAGUAUGGAAGAGAUGAUAUUGAUGAUAUUGCUAGGGAGGUGGAGGGCAAAUCCCCUGAGGAGGUCAUGGAGUAUUCAGCUGUAUUUUGGGAACGUUGCAAUGAAUUACAGGACAUUGAGAAAAUUAUGGCUCAAAUUGAACGUGGAGAAGCAAGAAUUAAGCGAAGGAUCAGUAUCAAGAAGGCCCUGGAUGCCAAAAUUGCAAGAUACAGGGCUCCAUUUCAUCAGUUGCGUAUUCAGUAUGGAACCAGCAAAGGAAAGAACUAUACUGAGGAAGAAGACAGAUUCUUGAUUUGUAUGUUACACAAAAUGGGCUUUGAUAGAGAAAACGUGUAUGAAGAAUUAAGACAGUGUGUACGGAAUGCUCCUCAGUUUAGAUUUGACUGGUUUAUCAAGUCCAGAACUGCCAUGGAAUUCCAGAGACGCUGUAAUACUCUUAUUUCAUUGAUUGAGAAAGAAAAUAUGGAAAUUGAGGAAACAGAGAGAGCAGAAAAGAAGAAACGGGCAACUAAAACUCCAAUGAAUUCAAGAGCCUCAGGAGGGCCUCUAUGCCAGCCCACUGACUUCAGCAUCAAUGGGAGCUCAUUUGACAUUUGAUACAAAUCUCGGAGGAGGAGGAUUUGACUCCCUAUGACUGCAUUCCCCAAAGCCACACUUGUAUUAUUGUGCAGGACAAGUUGUUUCUACCACGGAAGAUACCUCCAGGUGAUGCCAGGUGGGAGGAAGCACCUGAAGAAAGCUGAGAAGGCCUCGAGGGAGGCUGAGGACAUGGCAGCCUCUGACUCUGGCAUGCAAGAGUGGAGAGAGCUCAUAGGGCUGGAGGAUGUCCCCGAAGGGAACUCUCCAGUAACUGAUGAACACGGGCAAAAUGGGCCGUUUGAGGAUACAGAUGAGGAAGAAGAUACAGGGUUAUGUUUGUACAGUGUUUUCACCUGCUAGAUUCAACUCAACUUGGCUCACAGAAGAAGUUUUCUCUGUAAAAUCCUAGAAUGACACAAUUUCUUUCAAAACAAGUACCAUCUAUUUUCAUGUCGUUACUUAAUUAUAUUUGAUGUCACUUCUCCACAGGGAUGAAGUACAGAAGGAUCUGGAAAGUCUUGCAGGUAUGUUUAGGUGAUAUGUGUGGUUAAAGACAAUUGUUUAGAACAUUCAACUUUUAUAAAGGGAAUUGUUAAGUAGUGGGCCACAGGACUGGUUCUAAUGCCUUUUUCUCAUAUAUAGGGUUUCAUACAAGCAUUUAGUGUGAUUUGAGUUCAUAGGUUUCCUUACUCACCUUUUGAAUUGUUGAUGUGGAAAGUGAAAACGGUACUAACAAUGAUGGGGUCAGAAUGAUGGUAUUAUUUUAUGCACAUGUACAUUUAAUGUACUGUGUUAGAAUAUUGAUGAGAAAAGUGUGCCCUGUUUUGUGUGCACAGAUGAGGUGAGGUAUCAAUUUUUGAUGCCAAUUUUAAAUUCUCUUAAUUUAGUUACUUGUCAUGACUUUCCAAUGUUCCUUUCUAUGCAGUAGCUGUGUAAAUUGAAUCCUCUAAGGUAACCGUCUGUUGUGAUUUUUACUCUAGUAAACUGUGUAGUGGAAAACUGAAGGCGACACUCCCAGCUAGUGAGAGAAGUAUAAUCAGAUCCCCCAAAUUCUAAAUUUUAUAUUGUCCUGUCAGGUGUCAGUUAUACUAUCCGUGGACAAUACACUGAACAAAGAGUCAGAGUCAGUUGGUGGUUCUUUGAUAGGGACCAUCCUUACAAGCAAGUAUGAUUUGAAAGCUUUGCUCUAUUUGGUAAUGAGAAAAUAGAGUGUUUUGUGAGUGUUUGAUAAACUGUUUGUUGUGGGUGGAUUCUGUAUGUAUGAAAUAUUUUUGUUAUAGCACAGAUCCUUUGCAAUUACUGGAAAACAGCUAUUGGUCAUAUAUUCAUAAAUUCAAAUCAUCUGCUUUGCAAAGCUUUAUUUGAAGUUGUUGUGAAGUGCAACACCUAGGGAUAAAAGUGUUAUGUAAAAACCUCUAUGAAAGUUUUUUUUGAACGUUCUUGAAUUUAUUUGUUUAACCUAGACCUUUUACAACCAUGGCUUUUGUCUCUUUUAGUGAAAUGCUUUUUGUUAAAAGCAUCACUGCCGAGAUCGUUUGAGAAAUAAUUUUCUCAGUGUGUGAUAGGAUUAUCCUUACUUUUUUAUCCUUUUGAGGGAUAUUUUUAAGAAAAUACUUUUGUGCAUUUGACCUGAUGUGCUCUAGUAGUAAUCCAUUAAUCCAUCUAAACAUGUCCCUGAGUUGCAGGAUAUUUUAUAAUUUUCAAAAAAUUUGUCUGUCAACCAUUUUCUCCCAAGGGAAAUUAAAGUUUGUCUUUGAGGUCCUUUAUAUACAUUUUGACAAUGGAAAAUAUUUUCAUUUUUAUCCCCUUUUCAUUAUCUCUAAAUUAGAAGGUGAUCUGCAGAUAGAGAAGUUAGAAAUGGGAUAUAGGUUCUGGAAUUAUUUUACGGAAAAGAGUCAGCAAAUCUUGCUUUUUGAAAUGGUGACCAUAUUAUAAAUUUUAUAUUUUUACUAUUUGGAGCAUAAUUCUCAUACAAUGUUAUAUUAGUUUCAGGUGUACAGCAUAGUGAUUCUACACUUACAAUGCCUGUGUUAUAAAUUUUAAAUGUCUUUGUAUAUUGCUGAGGCAACAUGUACCCACAUUGAUUUGAAAAUAUGGGAGCAAAAUAAUUUUCAACAUUAACUUUUAAUGAAUAUCUAUUUCCUAUAUAGUUGAAAUUAAGCAGGCUUUGCAUGCAAAGAGAAGUUUGAAACGAUUGCUAAAGCUUCUAUCAAAGCCACUAACAAAAAAAUUGAGCAAGUUUGGAAAAUACAACAAGAAUGAAGUCAGACUCUUCAUCUCAAAUAUGCUCAGCACUUACAGCCUUUCCUUCAGGAGUGGGAUACAGAUAUGCAGAAACUCCAGGAACAAGAAGAAAAACUAGAUGUUGGUGUCAGCCUUCGCUUUAAAAUUAGUUAAUUUAUUGUGUCCAAGUCUCAAGUAGGGAGUAGCUCAUGCAAAAAUGCAGGAGAGAAGGUAGAUUCCAUGAGCACAGAUGGGUAAAGUUGUGUAGAAGAUGUAGCGAUGGGAGACUGAACGUACUCCUCGGAUUGCUUCUGUUUAUUUAGUGAAAUAGUGAGGCCACCAGUUAGGAGUUAGGGUGGUGGAGGAGGAGGUGUUGCCUUUUGGGGGCAGGGAAGAAGGCCUGGAAUUGUGUCCUGAGAGAGGACCAGUGAAUGAACUAAGGAAAUAGCAUUGCCACGGAGCAUUAGGGGCCCGGCUGAGGUUAGUGUCAUAGUGAUCAUGAAUGUAAAGUGAGACCACUCUUGCAUGGCUGUGGCAGAGCAGCUGGAGAGCUGAAUUUUCCAGGGUAGGAGUUUAGCCACGCAGACUGACAAAGUGAAAAGGGGGCAAGGGUCUUGUGCAAGGGCGUAGGUGUAACGAUUGACCAUGGAAUUGAAGCUGGGGAGGAGGAAACGUGAGGACAUGAGAGUCGGGGUGGGGAAGGUGAAAGAUUUGAUAACCAUUAGAUGUUAAUCCUGACAGAGUAGUGAACUAUAGUAAGAAAGGGAGUGAACUACAAACAGGGAGAUAGAGGUUGGAUGUUGGGGGAAAAUGCUGAAAAAAAAUGCAGUGUAGUAGUACAGCGGUCAAGAGCCUGGACUCUGGAACCAUAAUGUUUGGGGUCCAAUUGCGGUUGACCAGUGCUAGCUGUGAAAGCAGGGACACGUUUUCAUCUCUGUACCUCAGUUUCCUCACCUAUGAAAGGGGACACAAUAAGAGUACCUACCUCAUAGAGUCAUUUUGAGCAUUAAAUGAGAUCAUACAUAAUAAGUUUAUUUAAAGUAGUUUAGAACAGUACCUAACACACAGUUCCUAUAUAAGUCUUUGCUCUUAUUAAUAUUAUGUAGAUGCUGCCAUUUUGGGACAUGACAGAGUCUGGGGUAUGACUAUGUACGUGAAAGGCUAACGCUGGGAAGAGGGCAAAAUUAUUGUUGGAGGCUAGGUCAAGGAACAGAAAGGCCAGCACUAUUGAAGGGGCCAUCUGUGUACAUAUUGAAAUGACCAAGAAUUAAAGCAUGUUUUGAAUAUUGUUAAGAAGGAAUAUUUCCUCCAUGCUUACCGUUAAGAAGGAUUGUCAUAGAGCUUUUGCCCACUAGUGGUAAACACAUUAUUGGCAGGGCCAUUUGUGAAUUUUGAGAUAAAGAAUUAAAGCAUGUUUUCCAUAUUGGUAAGAAAGAAAAACUGCCUAUUCAAUGGCCAUUAGGUAGGAUUAUUAUAUUGUUUUUGUGUAUUAGUGGUGAGCACACAAUUAUCUUAACUGGGUCAUAAAAGUUCUUAAAGAGGAAAUGUUAACAAAUGUUGAUUUAAAGAGUAUACCUUUUAAGCUUAAUGUACAAUUGUUAUCUAAAUAUUAAAUGUUAGCCACACUUUAUCACUUUUUUUCUUUUAUAUUUGCAUAAUCUGUUUCAAGAGCAAUGGAAGCUUCUUCAACAAGCUGGAAUUGUUCAGAUCCAGAAACUGAAAAAAACUGUAAACAUACAUGAACUAUUGUUAAAGGUCUGCUGUAUUUGGUAGCAUAAUAAAUUUUUAUAAAACAAUGUA